GGUAUAUUUCUCAGAUGAGGUCUCUCUUCUGUUUUUGCUUUUCUGUCACAGGAUUUGAAUUUCUGAUCUCUCUGUGUAUGUUUGUCCAAGAAGCGAGGGGUCUUCUAUUUGGGGUUAUAUGUCCCCAUUUGUUCGAUCCCUGGCCUCACUCAGUGGGUGAAGUAUCUGGCAUUGCUGUGAGCUGUGGUGUAGGCCACAGACAUGGCUCGGAUCUGGGGUGCCUGUGGCUGUGGUGUAGGCCGGCACCUAUAGCGCUGAUUCGACCCCUAGCCCAGGAACCUCUACAUACCGCAGGUGCAGCCCUAAAAAGAGAAAAAGAAAAAAGAAUGUAUACAUAUGGGUAGGACUCAGUCACUUUGCUGUACAACAGAAAUUGACAUAACAUUGUAAAUCAAAACUAUACUUUAAAAAAAGAGGUCCUUUGUAGAUGCGAUUGGAGUUCCCUGGUGGCUCAGUAGGUUAAGGAUCUGGUUUAUCACUGCUAUGGCUUGGGUUGCUGCUGUGGCGCAGGUUCAGCCCAUGGCCCUGGAAGUUCCAUACGCUGCAGGUGUGGCCAAAAGAAAAACGUCCUUUGUAGUUGUGAUUAAGCAAAUCACCUUGAGAUGGAGGAGAUUAUCCUGAAUUUUUCAGGUGAGCAGAGUGUAAUGACAAAAGUCCUUGCAGAAGGCAGGAUAGUCAAAGAAGCAGAUGUGAUGACCAAAAUAGAGAUCAGAAAGAGAUGUGAGGAGUUCCCGUCGUGGCGCAGUGGUUAACGAAUCCGACUAGGAACCAUGAGGUUGCGGGUUCGGUCCCUGCCCUUGCUCAGUGGGUUAACGAUCUGGCGUUGCCGUGAACUGUGGUGUAGGUUGCAGACACGGCUCGGAUCCUGAGUUGCUGUGGCUCUGGCGUAGGCCGGUGGCUACAGCUCCGAUUCAACCCCUAGCCUGGGAACCUCCAUAUGCCGCGGGAGCGGCCCAAGAAAUAGCAACAACAACAACAACAAAACAACAACAAAAAAAAAAAAAAAAAAAAAAAAAAAGAGAUGUGAGAGCGAAACACUGCCAGUUUUGAAGAUGGAGGAAGGGGCCAGGAGCUAAGGAUUGCAGGCAGCUUUAGAAACUGGAAAAGACAGAGUUCCCAUCAUGGCUCAGGGGUUAACGAAUCUGACUAGGAACCAUUGAGGUUGUGGGUUCGAUCCCUGACCUCGCUCAGUGGGUGAAGGAUCCAGCGUUGCCGUGAGCUGUGGUGUAGGUCGCAGACACAGCUUGGAUCUGGCGUUGCUGUGGCUGUGGUGUAGGCUGGUGGCUGCAUCUCCGAUUAGACCCCUAGACUGGGAACCUCCAUGUGCUCCAGGAAAGACAG
Molecule: long non-coding RNA, 1341 nt
Filed under: Sus scrofa (pig)
Lineage: Eukaryota; Metazoa; Chordata; Mammalia; Artiodactyla; Suidae
Description: lncRNA (ENSSSCG00040010580.1, ENSSSCG00060078918.1)
Source: RNAcentral